GAUGAAGAACGUAGCGAAAUGCGAUACUUGGUGUGAAUUGCAGAAUCCCGUGAACCAUCGAGUCUUUGAACGCAAGUUGCGCCCGAAGCCAUUAGGCCGAGGGCACGCCUGCCUGGGCGUCACACGUCGUUGCCCCCCCAUCUACUCCUUCGGGAUUGCGGGGGGCGGAUGAUGGCCUCCCGUGCGCCUCGUCGCGCGGUUGGCAUAAAUGCCAAGUCCUCGGCGACGCACGCCACGACAAUCGGUGGUUGCGAAACCUCGGUUGCCCGUCGUGUGCGGUCGUCGCGCAUCGAGGGCUCGAAAAAAUUGUCGGGCUCCGGCUCGGCUUUCAACGCGACCCCUGGUCAGGCGGGGUUACCCGCUGAAUUUAAGCAUAUCAAUAAGCGGAGGA
This 391-nucleotide unclassified non-coding RNA is filed under the name soil metagenome. Its description in RNAcentral is "partial contains 5.8S ribosomal RNA, internal transcribed spacer 2, and large subunit ribosomal RNA". The stretch from base 1 to 122 matches the Rfam family "5.8S ribosomal RNA", at positions 35 to 154 of the family's 154-position model. The record is from RNAcentral.